This 388-nucleotide ribosomal RNA is filed under the name Crustomastigaceae sp. Its description in RNAcentral is "partial small subunit ribosomal RNA". It matches the Rfam family "Eukaryotic small subunit ribosomal RNA", at positions 582 to 975 of the family's 1831-position model. The record is from RNAcentral. Lineage: Eukaryota; Viridiplantae; Chlorophyta; Mamiellophyceae; Dolichomastigales; Crustomastigaceae.
AUUCCAGCUCCAAUAGCGUAUAUUUAAGUUGUUGCAGUUAAAAAGCUCGUAGUUGGAUUUCGGGUGUCAUCUGCCGGUCCGCCGUUUCGGUGUGCACUGGCGGGCGUCAUCUUUCUGUCGAGGACGCGCUCCUGUCCUUUAUUGGUCGGGACGCGGAGUCGGCGAGGUUACUUUGAAAAAAUUAGAGUGUUCAAAGCGGGCUUACGCUUGAAUAUAUUAGCAUGGAAUAACACUAUAGGACUCCUGUUCUAUUUUGUUGGUCUUCGGGACGGGAGUAAUGAUUAAGAGGAACAGUUGGGGGCAUUCGUAUUUCAUUGUCAGAGGUGAAAUUCUUGGAUUUAUGAAAGACGAACUUCUGCGAAAGCAUUUGCCAAGGAUGUUUUCAUUG